This 332-nucleotide ribosomal RNA is filed under the name uncultured eukaryote. RNAcentral's name for it is "partial 18S ribosomal RNA". It matches the Rfam family "Eukaryotic small subunit ribosomal RNA", at positions 1470 to 1796 of the family's 1831-position model. The record is from RNAcentral.
CCCUUAGAUGUUCUGGGCUGCACCCGUGCUACACUGGCAGGUUCAGCGAGCUUCAUGCCCUGAUCUGAAAGGAAUGGGAAAUCUUUUCAAAACCUGCCGUGCUUGGGAUAGAUGUUUGCAAUUAUUCAUCUUCAACGAGGAUUGCCUCGUAAGCGCACGUCAUCAGCGUGCAUUGAAUACGACCCUGUAUUCUGUACACACCGCCCGUCGCUCCUACCGAUUGAAGUUUUCGGUGAGUUGACAGGAGGAUUUUUUUGAAACUGGUUCGCCAGUGGAUUUUAGAUCCAAAUGCCAACGAAUCGAUGGCUUUAGAGGAAGGAGAAGUCGUAACA